Molecule: transfer RNA, 67 nt
Filed under: Microdevario kubotai
Lineage: Eukaryota; Metazoa; Chordata; Actinopteri; Cypriniformes; Danionidae
Description: tRNA-Ala
Source: RNAcentral
AGGGUUUAGUUUAAUUAAAAUUUUGGAGUUGCAUUCCGAAGAUGCGGGGUAACGCCCGCAAGCCCUA